This 22-nucleotide non-coding RNA is filed under the name Arabidopsis thaliana (thale cress). The record is from RNAcentral. Lineage: Eukaryota; Viridiplantae; Streptophyta; Magnoliopsida; Brassicales; Brassicaceae.
CUUGGUACUCGUGGUUCGGCGC